RNAcentral lists this ribosomal RNA (394 nucleotides) under uncultured microorganism. RNAcentral's name for it is "bacterial SSU rRNA". It matches the Rfam family "Archaeal small subunit ribosomal RNA", at positions 330 to 725 of the family's 1478-position model. The record is from RNAcentral.
GUGCAGCAGUCGAGAAACCUCCGCAAUGCGGGAAACCGCGACGGGGGACCCCGAGUGCCGUGGCAACGCCACGGCUUUUCCGGAGUGUAAAAAGCUCCGGGAAUAAGGGCUGGGCAAGGCCGGUGGCAGCCGCCGCGGUAAUACCGGCGGCCCGAGUGGUGGCCGCUAUUAUUGGGCCUAAAGCGUCCGUAGCCGGGCCCGUAAGUCCCUGGCGAAAUCCCACGGCUCAACCGUGGGGCUUGCUGGGGAUACUGCGGGUCUUGGGACCGGGAGAGGCGGGGGGUACCCCUGGGGUAGGGGUGGAAAGUCCUAUAAUCCCAGGGGGACCGCCAGUGGCGAAGGCGCCCCGCUGGAACGGUCCGACGGUGAGGGACGAAGGCCAGGGGAGCGAACC